Molecule: ribosomal RNA, 253 nt
Filed under: uncultured bacterium
Lineage: Bacteria
Description: partial 16S ribosomal RNA
Rfam family: Bacterial small subunit ribosomal RNA
Source: RNAcentral
UACGGAGGGUGCAAGCGUUAUCCGGAUUUAUUGGGUUUAAAGGGUCCGCAGGCGGGCCGAUAAGUCAGUGGUGAAAUCUCAUAGCUUAACUAUGAAACUGCCAUUGAUACUGUCGGUCUUGAGUAAAUUAGAGGUAGCUGGAAUAAGUAGUGUGGCGGUGAAAUGCAUAGAUAUUACUUAGAACACCAAUUGCGAAGGCAGGUUACCAUGAUUUAACUGACGCUGAGGGACGAAAGCGUGGGGAGCGAACAGG